Molecule: ribosomal RNA, 200 nt
Filed under: uncultured bacterium
Lineage: Bacteria
Description: partial 16S ribosomal RNA
Rfam family: Bacterial small subunit ribosomal RNA
Source: RNAcentral
CAGGCUGCAACUCGCCUGCAUGAAGUCGGAAUUGCUAGUAAUCGCAGAUCAGCAUGCUGCGGUGAAUACGUUCCCGGGCCUUGUACGCACCGCCCGUCACACCAUGGGAGUCGGUAACACCCGAAGUCGGUAGCCUAACCGUAAGGAGGGCGCCGCCGAAGGUGGGAUUGAUGACUGGGGUGAAGUCGUAACAAGGUAUC